AAGUCGUAACAAGGUUUCCGUAGGUGAACCUGCGGAAGGAUCAUUAUUGAAUUUUUGAAGGGGUUGUUUUGCUGGCCUCCAUCCGGGGCAUGUGCACGCUCCGUUCAAAUCCAACCUUUACACACCUGUGCAUCUUUUGUAGGGUUCGCGUGGUCGAAAGGCCGUGCGGCUCUAUGUUUAUCAUAAACUCUGUAGUAUGUGUAGAAUGUCAACGCGUGUAACGCAUCUUUAUACAACUUUCAGCAACGGAUCUCUUGGCUCUC
RNAcentral lists this unclassified non-coding RNA (263 nucleotides) under Postia folliculocystidiata. RNAcentral describes it as "partial internal transcribed spacer region". The stretch from base 1 to 46 matches the Rfam family "Eukaryotic small subunit ribosomal RNA", at positions 1786 to 1831 of the family's 1831-position model. Lineage: Eukaryota; Fungi; Basidiomycota; Agaricomycetes; Polyporales; Postiaceae. The record is from RNAcentral.